Dendroctonus ponderosae (mountain pine beetle) is the source of this 794-nucleotide long non-coding RNA. RefSeq lists it as uncharacterized. The record is from RefSeq and is a predicted model, not a curated record. The transcript has 3 exons. NCBI's taxonomy places the organism in Eukaryota, Metazoa, Arthropoda, Insecta, Coleoptera, Curculionidae.
CGAUAUCAUUUACAUCUUUGCAGCUACAAUUUUUGACAUAAAUCGUCAAAGGCCGCAUGAUGGAGAAAGCAAUACUAAAUGCAAAUGUUAUCCAAACUGCGGCUACAUAACUUACCAAUCGUAUAUGUCCAAGGGGCCGUUGGACUUGACAUAUUUUAAAAAUCCUCGAUCGAUAGAGUCCGGCACGAAUUUGGAAAAUUUCACAGUUCUGAGGGUUUUUGCGAGCUCUUUGAAGGCACUAACGUAUCGGCGAGAUGUUAAAUUUUCAGGGCUUGGCCUUUUAGGAUUUUUUGCUGGAUUGGUUGGGUUACUAACAGCAUUCAGUUUUAUUACAAUUGUAGAAUUUGUGUAUCUACUGGGAGCUAGACGAAGUAGGAAAAAUGAUGAAACCGAAAAACACCGUGUUCGUCGCAUUAUUGUCGCACCUUUAGAACACAACCCCAGCAAACUUCAGUUAUAAACAGUUUUUUCUUAACUUGUAGGACAUUAUUUUAGUAACCGCAUUAAUGGAAAUUUAGUAUCCCGAGUUAAAAUUACACUAAACAAUCCAAACAGAAAACACUGCCUGGACUCAACCCAAGUGAUAACUUCAGCGAUUUCCGUCGAUAUACUUAUAAAGAUUAGUGAAUAAAGUCAAUUAACCUCUGAAACCGAUAAGAUGCGUCCAAAGCUCCUGGGAGUCAAAGAAGCCAGAUAACUAGUCCAACAUGAGGGCUGUACAGUUUUUAUUAAGCUAUUUUGCUACUUUCUUUAAUAAACACAUUUCAGCCAUGUGCAAAACAUAACUCAAAUGA